Molecule: ribosomal RNA, 478 nt
Filed under: uncultured bacterium
Lineage: Bacteria
Description: partial 16S ribosomal RNA
Rfam family: Bacterial small subunit ribosomal RNA
Source: RNAcentral
GAUGAACGCUGGCGGCGUGCCUAACACAUGCAAGUCGAACGGAGUCCAGCCUUUAAGACCUUCGGGUCAAAGAGGGGAAGACUGAGUGGCGGACGGGUGAGUAACACGUGGGCAACCUGGCUCAUAGAGGGGGAUAACAGAGAGAAAUUUCUGCUAAUACCGCAUAAGCACACACUGCCGCAUGGCAGAGGGUGAAAAGAGAAUCGCUAUGAGAUGGACCCGCGUCUGAUUAGCCAGUUGGCAGGGUAAGAGCCUACCAAAGCGACGAUCAGUAGCCGAUCUGAGAGGAUGAACGGCCACAUUGGGACUGAGACACGGCCCAAACUCCUACGGGAGGCAGCAGUGGGGGAUAUUGCACAAUGGGGGGAACCCUGAUGGAGCGACGCCGCGUGAGUGAAGAAGUAUUUCGGUAUGUAAAGCUCUAUCAGCAGGGAAGAUAAUGACAGUACCUGAAUAAGAAGCCCCGGCUAACUACGUG